Molecule: long non-coding RNA, 1017 nt
Filed under: Mytilus galloprovincialis (Mediterranean mussel)
Lineage: Eukaryota; Metazoa; Mollusca; Bivalvia; Mytilida; Mytilidae
Source: RNAcentral
AACUGGAGUGUUUGUGGAGUGUGUGAACUACGCGAUAUCAGUAAACAGUCAGUCAUAUGGUGUUCAGAUUGUGAGGAGGGUCUCUGUGAUGAUUGUAAGGACUAUCAUAGUUUAUCCAAAGGGACACGUAAUCAUGAUAUCGUGACGAUAGCUGAGUACCAGAAAUUACCAAGCAACGUUAUUCAAAUCGUUCAGUCCUGUAAGAAACAUGAUCAAAAGUAUCAAAUAUUUUGUAAGAAGCAUGAUUGUCCGUGCUGUAAACGUUGCAUAGUAGAGGAUCACAAUAAAUGUGAAGAUUUAAAAGACAUAGAUGAUGUCGUAAGCGGUAUUAAGUCGUCAAAUGCAUUUCAAGAUUUCGAAAAGACUAUGAAUGUAAUUAAAGAGCAUAUCAAAAGAAUUCGAAAAGACCGUGAAGAAAAUUUAGCGUCUUUGAAAGAACAAAAGAAGAGCAUUGGAAUGGAGAUUCAUAAAGCUAAAACCUCAAUCAAUAAUCAUCUAGACCAACUACAUCAGACACUGCUGAAAGACCUUGAUACAUCAGAGGAGACAGAGACUAAGAAGAUUAGUCAGCUACUGAACGAAGUUGAAAAGCACGAAAAAGAGAUUGCAGAUUUUCAAGCUGGGUUAGAAAAUAUUAAGCAGUAUGCUUCCGAAUUGCAAAUAUUCCUGGCAACAAAAGAUAUGGAGAGUGAUUUAGCAAAGAAAGAAAAUUUUGUUCAGUCAAUAAUUAAAAGCGAAAAAUUAAAUCAUUCACAAAUAUUUUUGAAAAAUUGAAACGAUUUUACAGAAUAUUGCGACUGAUCUUAAAUCCUUUGGAGAAAUAAUCGUUGAUAAUAAGCCGAACAAACUAAUGAUAAGUAGACAGAAGGACCAACAGGCUCAACAGAAAAUUGCUGUUCAUCACCAAAGUCCAUUGAAAAUUUGAAACUGACCUUACGAAAGACCGUUGAUAUGGAUGCCACAUACGUCAGAGGAUGUACAAUACUACCUGAUGGAAGGAUGAUGUUUACUUGUUAC